ACCAUCCAUUUUGUGGGGUUGCACUACUGUCCAAUGAAUGUCUUGUGAGAGUACUGCUAAUGCUUAGAGAACACAUUUGCAUUAGCUAGAUAUAUACAAGCUUAGUCUGCAUGAUGGUGAAACA
Molecule: small nuclear RNA, 124 nt
Filed under: Jaculus jaculus (lesser Egyptian jerboa)
Lineage: Eukaryota; Metazoa; Chordata; Mammalia; Rodentia; Dipodidae
Description: U4atac minor spliceosomal RNA (ENSJJAG00000006778.1)
Source: RNAcentral